AUUGAACGCUGGCGGCAGGCCUAACACAUGCAAGUCGAGCGGAUGAAGGGAGCUUGCUCCUGGAUUCAGCGGCGGACGGGUGAGUAAUGCCUAGGAAUCUGCCUGGUAGUGGGGGAUAACGUCCGGAAACGGGCGCUAAUACCGCAUACGUCCUGAGGGAGAAAGUGGGGGAUCUUCGGACCUCACGCUAUCAGAUGAGCCUAGGUCGGAUUAGCUAGUUGGUGGGGUAAAGGCCUACCAAGGCGACGAUCCGUAACUGGUCUGAGAGGAUGAUCAGUCACACUGGAACUGAGACACGGUCCAGACUCCUACGGGAGGCAGCAGUGGGGAAUAUUGGACAAAGGGCGAAAGCCUGAUCCAGCCAUGCCGCGUGUGUGAAGAAGGUCUUCGGAUUGUAAUGCACUUUAAGUUGGGAGGAAGGGCAGUAAGUUAAUACCUUGCUGUUUUGACGUUACCAACAGAAUAAGCACCGGCUAACUUCGUG
Molecule: ribosomal RNA, 484 nt
Filed under: uncultured bacterium
Lineage: Bacteria
Description: partial 16S ribosomal RNA
Rfam family: Bacterial small subunit ribosomal RNA
Source: RNAcentral